This 8117-nucleotide unclassified non-coding RNA is filed under the name Leishmania donovani. RNAcentral describes it as "gene:LdHU3.28.2400(CDS-product:sulfate_transporte r-like_protein)". The record is from RNAcentral. Lineage: Eukaryota; Euglenozoa; Kinetoplastea; Trypanosomatida; Trypanosomatidae.
CUGCCUCUGAACAAACAAGGAGGGGGAGGGGCGCGCACACGCACACGCAGAGUGCAGGUCGCCCACGCCCCUCAAGCGCAGAGCACAGAACCGGCAACAUCGGCAAAGCAGCACCUCAUUUCCCCGCCUCUCUAUCUACAUUAUAUAUAUAUAUAUACACCUAUAUCUACAUGUAUAGACACGUUCAGGCUUGCUCCCCCCUCUUCGCCUCCAGUAGCGGCGCCGCGUCUCUCAUCUCCUUCCUUGUCUUUCUAGCGACUGCGAGUGCUUGACAGCAUUCUUCGCCUCCUCCCCUCUCUCCCUUGCCGUGCACGGCGCUUAGCAUCUUUCUUUAUCUCUUGUGCUUGCGUGAUUGCUCGUACUGAGCAACACAAUAUUCUUCUCUGUCUUUGAGUGCCGAUACGCCGUGUUGCUUCUCUUUUCGAGUUCGCGCCUACCUACGCUUGUCUGUCUGUGUGCACGAGUGCUGGCGUAUUUCAUUUUUUUUUUUCUCCGGGAGGGAGGGAAGUGGGGUAAGCAACUUGCGAGCUGAGAAGCGAAGCAAGGCAGCGGCGGGAGGGCCUUUAUCUCGGCACUUCGUGCGCCUAAACGCCGCACCUCUUGUGCCGCUGCUGUUGGCGCCACCUUGUGUCUCUCACAGACCCGCUCUGUCUUCAUCCUCUCCUCCGCUGUUCAGCGCGUGCAUGUGUGUCUGAGUCCGUCUCUAGCUCGCUCCGCUUCGGUUUGUUUCUUCUUUCUGAGGUCGCUCGCCACCCCGCGACUCGCCGUCGAUCCCCUCUCCCCCUCCCCCACUUCCCUCUCUCUCCCCUGCACAGCUGUGGCUUAUGCUGAGCGUGGUGCUCACGCUGACUGACUGCACACGCGCAGAACCUGAGCGGAGACAGACACGAGCAUUAUGCACCACGUGCGCAGCCGCAGAACUACGAAGCACAAUUUAAAACAACACAACACACAUGCACACAGAGACACGGGCACUGACACGUAUUUUAUUUCCUUUCCCUGCUUACCUCGGCGCGCUGCUUUUGCCUCGCUGCAGCAAUUUUCGGAUUCUUCUCUGGGGUCGUCGUCCACGCAGACUCCUUGUCUGUCUGUCCCUCUCUCUAUGUGCGUGUACGCACCAAGAUCGACGCGCAGCCCACACAUUGAAGCACAAGUGCAGAGUUUCAACACGGGUCAGGUGAGACGCUGCAAUGGCUCCUGCCACAGCCAGUGCAAUUCUCGCCAGGGCCGGUCAUGAGCCCCCGGUGAGCGCGAGGGAGGUGUGGAAGACGACCGCGAUGAAGUACGUCUACCGCUUCGUGCCCGUCUCGCGGUGGCACCGCCUCCUGACCCCAAAGAUCAUCCUCAGUGACGGCAUCGCCGGCUUCAUCGUUGGCGUCAUGAUUGUGCCGACAUGCCUUUCGUGGUCCAGUCUGGCCGGUCUGCCGUUCUCGUGCGGUCUCAUCGCGGCCCUCGUUGCCUCCUUCUCGUACGGCACGUUUGGCCAGUGCGCGUCGCUGUCGAUCGGGCCGGUGGCGGAGAUCACGACGCUGCUCAUUUCUAUCCCGGGCAUCCCGCUCGCGGAGCGCAAGGACACAUUCCAGAGCCUCGGUGUGCAGGUGGGCAUUGUGAGCAUGGUGCUUAGCUUUGUGGACUGCGGCACUGUCAUAAAGACGAUCUUCGCGAAGGCCGUCGGCGACGGCUACACGUGCGCCGCGGCGCUGCUGGCCAUCUCGGCCCAGCUGAAGGUGAUGUUCAAUGUCGUGCCAGAGGACAAGGGCUACGGAAAUUUCAUCAACACCCUCAUCACGCUCGGGACUCGGAUGUCCGCGAAGAGCCUCUACUGCUUUGUGAUCUUUAUGGUGUACUGCACAUACCUGAUCCAGAUCAAGAAAGCCGGACUGCCCCUCUGGAUCCCACACCAGCUCAUCGUCGUCGUCGUUUCCACACUUGUGACGUGGGGCUUCCGGCUGGACCAGCUCCUGGACCUGGCGAUCGUGCGCGACAUUCCGGCCGUCCUGAGCUGGCCGCGCUUUCCACCAAUGAACAAUCUCAUCGGGCUGGGGCCGUACACGCUGACCAUCACCGUGAUCAUCUUCGUGCAGAUGUACGUGGUGGCGCAGCGGGUGAUGCCAAAUAUUGACCCCAACACAGAGCUCUUCGCUGGCGGCAUCACCAACCUGCUUGUGAACCUCAUGUCUGGCAUGCCGGUGUCGAACUCGUUUAGCUGUUCCUCUGUGCUGAUUGAGCAGAAAGUGCACACGCCGCUGACUGCCUACGCGACCGGCGCGGUCGUGCUAAUCACAGUUCUGUUCCUCACCAGGCUUGGUGUCUUCUACUACCUCCCGAAGCAGGCGCUGGCCGCGAUCGUCGUCUCGAGUGUGUGGCGCCUCGUGAACUUUUCGGGGCCGGUGCAGCUGUGGCGCUACAGCCGUAAGGACGCCGGCGUGUGGGUGCUGACGUUUCUGCUGACCCUGAUCGGCGGCAUUACAAUCGGUGUGCUGAGUGGAAUUGCGUUCUCUCUCAUCUUGGUGGUGCUUCGCAUUGCCCGGCCGCGCGCGGUGAGCGUUGGAUUUAACAUGCAGACGUUCCGCUACGGAGACAUCCGCAAGGACCCGGAGCUGCUCGUGUACCCGAACAUCCUGAUGUGGCGCUUCGACGCCCCUCUGUAUUUCAUCAACAUCGGCUACUUCCAGGAGCGUCUCAUCGCUGCCAUCGCCGCGGAAGUGCGCCCCAUCGACGUUGUUAUAGUCACCUGUGGAAAAGUGGUCGACAUCGACGCGGCGGCGCUGGCGUCACUGCCUUUCAUCCUCGACUACACCUCGAAGUCUGACCCGACUCGACCACGGCGCAUCAUCCUGACGGAUAUCCACGGACGGCUGGAGAAGGUUCUCCUCGCCUCGGCAGCACUGCCUAUCUACGUGCCGGAGGAGUACGACCGCAUCUCGAUCGAGCAGAUCACGGCCUCUGGUAAGUUUCCUGUCGUCUUCAAGAAGCUGGAGGAGGCGAUCGCAUUUGGGCAACGGUGCAUAUCGGAGCGCUAUGGCAAUGUGGACACCGCACCGUACCCCAACGUGUCCUUCUUGACAGACGUCGUGAUGGAGGCGGCACGGCUGCCGACAGGGGACGGCUGCGUGCCGUCCUUCCUAUCGCUGUUGGAGGCGGAGAACGCCACCCCAGCCGCGGCGGGCGGCACCACAGCAGCAGCGGCAGCGCCGUUGAGCUCGAACUCACCACACAUUGUGGUGACAGCGCCCGGCGAGGCAUCGCGUGGGCCCAGCCGAGCGGAGGGUGCGCAAGGCAAGACAGCGCGCGCCGAGGCCUCCAUUUCCUCACCGCGGCUGCCACGCAACAGCGCCACGACCUCCGCGGAUUUACCGAGGCCGAGCGUGGACGAUGACGACGACGACGACGUCGACGAUGGAGACCCACCACAGCAGCAGCAGGACAGCCUUGUGCGUCACCUUGCCACGCUAAAGAAGCUCUCCACAUACUCGCCCGAUCGCGAGCUUGUCGGCGUGCUUGGUGUCAUUCGCCAUGGCGAGGUGACGCCGAAACAGAAGAAGAAGCUGCUCUUCAGCGACCCGACUCUGCUGCGGCUAGCAUUCCAAGGGCGCGACGUGCGCCGGACGAAGCGCAGCGUCGAUGAGCUGACGGAGUUCUUUGCGGUGGUGGAGCGGCUGCUCUUGGAGACGCCAGCCUCAAAUAUGAGCUCUGCGGGGUCCGCGGACAUGCUGGAUGCUUCGUUCCUUGGCACUACCAGCCCCUUGACAGGCCGAAUCUCCGCAUCCACGGCAGAGAGCUGGGCGCGCGUCUUGUCCAUUGUCCGAAGCCGCCCGGAUGGGCUCAAGAUCCAGGUCAAGGCGCGUGUGACGUCCACCUCGGGUACCGUUUCGUUUGCCGAGAGCGAGCGGACCUCCCCUCAGAGGCACGUACACUACGGCGGUAGUGCAUGGUGGAAAGUCGGCGGCAGCGCACCGAGUCGCCAUAGCAGCGGAAGCGGUAGCGCUGACGAGGAGUGGGGCGAGCCGGCGGUGGGCCUUCUCGUGGUGAAGUGGGGCGGUGUACUGACCAAGUCCGGGAUCUUGCAGGCGCAUGUGAUGGGCGAGAAGUUGUUUGCACGCUUCUACGCAGCAGGAGACCUGCCACUGCGUCGCCUAGUUCAGUUCACGCGUCACCCGCUAGUGACGGCGUCCGACGAGAACCGGGUGGUGAACACGGCGCUUGUCGUGGCCAAUGCCCUCACGCAGACCUCUGGCGCCACUCUGCACCGCUGCGACAUUGUGCUCAAUGAUGGCCUCACCAAGACGCUGGGGCCAGUUGCGAAGCGUCUCCUCCAGGAGGAGUACCGAUACUUCGAGUCGCUGCUCCACAUCGAGUCCGCCGCAGCGGCACGGCAUUUCUUUCACAUCCCAGGCUUCCGCCAGCUACUGUCCAUCCCGCCGCGAGAUAGCCUUCGUGGCUGGGUGGGCAGCGAGCAUGACGACGGCCAUGCUGACAGUGACGGGAGCGACAACGGGGCGGCGCACAUGUUCAGCCAGACGGUCAGCAAGAACUCUGAGAACGACAAGGCACCGGAGAUGAGCGGUCGUCCUCCGCCGUCUUCGUGCCGCCGCAGCAAACGGACUGCAUGUGAAGGAAAUCCGCGCAGCACUCAGUUUAACGGCGCACAGGAUGUCACGCACGGCAGCCGUGCCUUUUUGAUGCCGGAGCAGCAGCAGCAGCAGCAAAACUACAACUGCCAUCGGCAGGACGAGUUCUACACCCCGUAUCAGGUUCUGCAGGAGCUGGAAGAGCUCAUGACGAUCUUGUCCACGCUGGAGUUUCCGGUACACCUCGCCAAGGUGCCACUGAGCAACCACGAGACGCUGCAGGAGCUGCAGCGUCGCUACGAGGCGAUGCUGAAAAACUUCGAGGGUGCUAAGCGCCGGAUUCGAAGCAGCUAUAAGCACUCCGUGCAUAUGAUGAGCUCUGGUGCAUCCCAGACACCCGCCUCGCCGGGGGCGAGGAACUUGAGGCCGGCGGGGCCAGCAGGACUCGAUGAGGACCCGGAGCAGCAGAUGCUUCUGGAGGCGAUGGAGGAGACCGGUGGCUCGUCCGACGAGGACGGGUUCGAUGCACAGCUGGUGGGGGACACUGAACUGGAUCCCGACUUGCCGCCGCGGCGCGACCCCUCAGCGGCUGGUGGGUCGCUGGCAACAGCGAGGCCGUCGCAUCUCACGAUGCCCACCUCGAGCAGUGGACGCCCAGUUGAACCCGGGCAAGGCCGGGGCAAUCACAGCCGCUGCCCUGUGCCCGCGCAGCAGCGAACAACGAGCGGCAGCGGCAACGGCGGCCAGACGCAGCCGAGGCUGCUUCAUGCGGGUUCUGGGCCCUUCCACACUCCUGGGCACGACCGUGGUCGCGGGAGUAAUGGCCGCGGCCCACCAGGCGCUGCCACGCGCUUCGAUGUGAGCGACGUGUCGAAGCUGCGAGACUAUGGCUCCUACGACGUGGCGUACAAUCUUCCUCUUGUGCUACAGCUGCACGCGUCUGUGCAGGAGCCGGCAGCGGCGUUUCAGCUGCGCCGCUUCGCUCGUGCCCUGCAGCGCUUCUCUGAGAUCACCGAGUACCUGUCGCGCAUCGGCGAGAAUGUGCUGGUUGGGAUCAACAGCAGCAAGCGCUUUAUUAUCGGCUCGCUGGUCAGUGAUGGGCUGCUGCGGCGGCUGCACAACGACUUCCAGGACUUGGCCAUGGCUGAUGAGGAGCGCGGCGCGCAAGAGCUGCUGCUCAAGGCGCAGGCGCAGUACAUGGCGGAGAACGGCGGCGUCGAGCACGAUGUGCGCUACAUGAUUGGCCUGUGUUCGCGUCUCCCGUGCUGGCCAAAGAAGAAGAGGAGUAGGGCGGACGAACAUGGCGGGUCUGCCUGGAGAAACGACAUCUGGGCGCGAGAGACGCCGCAGGAGCGCGAGUUUAGGCUUCGCGUUCCCUUCAUCUCUCUCCCUAGGCAAGAGGCGUGGACGCGUGCCGCGGCAGCCGACUUCGAGAGGUGCACACGUCUGUACUUCACCUCUUAUCUCCACGUCGAAGGCGUGCUGCAGUGCCUCUUCGAGAGCGCCACAGUCGAGGGCUUCAGCCGACCCAGCAAAGAGGAGAUGGAGGCGACCCACCAGCUCUACAUGCGCCACCUCAUCUUCAAGAUUUUCCGUCGCCGCAACGUGAGCUAUACCGACGCGGAGGUGGCGGCAGCUAUGCGUCGUCUGCACUUACUCUUCCGCUCAGAUGUGGACUACGACAAGCAGCAGCGCGAGCUGCGCCUCGGACUCGCCGCCAUCUACCACGCAAUGUACUACGUCUCGAUGGAGGUUUAUCUCUCUCUCGGGGACGCCGAUGAGGCGCAGGCGACCAUCGUAGAGGACUUCCCGCUCUUCCACCUGGGCCGCGCUGGUGGCGGUGAUGAGGACGGUGACAGCCCAAGUGCAGCCGGCACAGCAGCCAACACAGCAGCCGGCGGCGGAAACAGCGAGGACGGAGAAGAGCUGGUGGAGACAAUGGCGCCGACUGGCGCGCCGUCGGCGGCUGGCGGCGGCACGGGGCUAACGGUGACAGACCCUUCGAGCCCACUUAUACUCUCCUUCGCGCCGAGCGGUCGCACCAGCUGUGUCAGCAGCGAUCCGGCGUCGUACUUCACCACUGCGGGCGGCAGAAACGCAGCUGCUUUUUCGACUGCAUCUGGCGGAAAGUCCGCGGAGACGCUCGCCGGCUUCGCUCGCAGCCCCUUGUACGUGCAGCAUCUUGUCCCCGUGUCCAACGAACCGGACACGACGGUGACAUCCGCCGCGGAUGGCAGCGGCUCGGCGGCAUUGGUGACAUCGCCGCUCUCACCCUCUGACGCACCUGGGCAGGCCGCCGCCGGCAGCGGGGUAGAGUCGGACUCUGGUGAAGACGGAACACGAAACCACAUGCACAGACGCGUCACCAACGCGUCGACGCUUGCUCUAGCACCGCCGCCGCAGCGCGAGCCGAAGACGCGAUCUCGAUCCAUGACGGCGGUGCCGACAAACACAAAGGACCCGGUCAAGGAGGCAACAGUUCUCAUGACGCCAGAGGCCGGGCGUCGGACGGCAAUGGUGCAAGAGAUGAAGCACCGCGUCUCGAACGUGACACCGAUGCGGCGCAUUCACGAGGGGUUGAGCCUGAACGACUUUGUGCUCCUCGUGAAGGAGGUGGAGAGCGCCGUACGCUCACAGACAGCCUCGUCUUCCUCGGCACAUUAGACGUGCAUGCAUAUGCGUGUUGUGGCUGGUUGUUCGCCGACGUGCAAAGGCGAGAGCGAAGGCGCAGGUCAGGAGGGAGGGCGACUAAGGUCUGUGCCGUGUUCGGGUCAUGUCGUUGUGGCGCAUGCGCGUCUUCUGCAGGAAAGCUUCUCGCGUUUGUGCUCGAUGAGUGCUUGCGUAGGGCGACCGCAUCGUCUCCAGUGCGUGCGUGCGUGUGAAUGUGUGAGGGGGGAAGUCGCAGCCUCCGCAGAGAAACGAACGCUGAGCCCUAGCCGACACGCCGCGGUGACAUCCAAGAUGGACGGAGCAGGGUGGACAGCGGCAUUCCCGAUAUCAGUUUGGUACACGACAACGGCACUCGUGGGCUCAAAACCACCUAAUACACUCUCGAGCGGCUCUGAGGUGGCUUCCAUCGAGUAGACGAACACACAGCUCAGAGCUCAAGGGCGAUGAUGAUUCUCGUCAUCUUCAUGGUCGGGCCCACCUUACGCGUUUGGUACAGACGCCUACUGGGUGAGCCUUGCACGGGUGCAAGCCACGCGCGCCCGUGGCUUGGGAGAUGAGGCGUUGGUGCGCGAACUGUCAAAGUCGCGCGGGGGCCGUCUCCACACGAAAAUAAAAACGAAAAACAAAAGCAAAACAAGGCCGUCUGCAUGCGUGAUGCUUGACAAGAAGCCACCACGUGCGUGUGCCUGAUCAGCUGCUCAGUUUACACCAACACCACCCACGCGGUUGCCGGCUCCUCUUUGCCCUCCCCCCGCGCGUCUCGCUGUCUCGCAGCUCUUUCUUGGUGGGCUGCACUCGCCUUUCCUCCUCUUCGGCGUGCACCACAACAAAACACGUCGUUUUCUCCCUGCUUCAUUCCCCCAACCCUACUCGCAG